RNAcentral lists this ribosomal RNA (485 nucleotides) under uncultured Streptomyces sp. RNAcentral's name for it is "partial 16S ribosomal RNA". Lineage: Bacteria; Bacillati; Actinomycetota; Actinomycetes; Kitasatosporales; Streptomycetaceae. The record is from RNAcentral.
CACGUAGUUAGCCGGCGCUUCUUCUGCAGGUACCGUCACUUGCGCUUCUUCCCUGCUGAAAGAGGUUUACAACCCGAAGGCCGUCAUCCCUCACGCGGCGUCGCUGCAUCAGGCUUGCGCCCAUUGUGCAAUAUUCCCCACUGCUGCCUCCCGUAGGAGUCUGGGCCGUGUCUCAGUCCCAGUGUGGCCGGUCGCCCUCUCAGGCCGGCUACCCGUCGUCGCCUUGGUGAGCCGUUACCUCACCAACAAGCUGAUAGGCCGCGGGCUCAUCCUGCACCGCCGGAGCUUUCCACACAGAGGAGAUGCCUCCCUGUGUCGUAUCCGGUAUUAGACCCCGUUUCCAGGGCUUGUCCCAGAGUGCAGGGCAGAUUGCCCACGUGUUACUCACCCGUUCGCCACUAAUCCACCCCCGAAGGGGCUUCAUCGUUCGACUUGCAUGUGUUAAGCACGCCGCCAGCGUUCGUCCUGAGCCAGGAUCAAACUCU